RNAcentral lists this ribosomal RNA (667 nucleotides) under Hepatozoon canis. RNAcentral's name for it is "bacterial SSU rRNA". It matches the Rfam family "Eukaryotic small subunit ribosomal RNA", at positions 167 to 822 of the family's 1831-position model. The record is from RNAcentral. Lineage: Eukaryota; Apicomplexa; Hepatozoidae.
UUACAUGAGCAAAAUCUCAACUUUAUUAGAAGAGACGCAUUUAUUAGAUAAAAAGCCAAUGCAUGCUUUUACAGUAUGAAAAUUGGUGAUUUAUAAUAACUUAGCAAAUCGCAUAGUGAAAACAGGCGAUAAAUCAUUCAAGUUUCUGACCUAUCAGCUUUCGACGGUAUGGUAUUGGCUUACCGUGGCAGUGACGGUUAACGGGGGAUUAGGGUUCGAUUCCGGAGAGGGAGCCUGAGAAACGGCUACCACAUCUAAGGAAGGCAGCAGGCGCGCAAAUUACCCAAUUCUAACAGUUUGAGAGAGGUAGUAACAAGAAAUAACAAUACAAGGCAGUUAAAAUGCUUUGUAAUUGGAAUGAUAGAAAUUUAAACCCUUUUUAAAGUAUCAAUUGGAGGGCAAGUCUGGUGCCAGCAGCCGCGGUAAUUCCAGCUCCAAUAGCGUAUAUUAAAAUUGUUGCAGUUAAAAAGCUCGUAGUUGAAGUUCUGCUAAAAGUAACCGGUCUGCUUUGAAUAAAAGUGGUAUCUUGGUAUGUAUUUAGCAAUGAUGUCCUUUGAAGUGUUUUUUACUUUAUUGUAAUAAAGCAUAUUCAGGACUUUUACUUUGAGAAAAUUAGAGUGUUUCUAGCAGGCCAACGCUUUGAAUACUGCAGCAUGGAAUAAUAAGA